RNAcentral lists this microRNA precursor (221 nucleotides) under Oryza sativa Japonica Group (Japanese rice). RNAcentral's name for it is "osa-MIR1427". Lineage: Eukaryota; Viridiplantae; Streptophyta; Magnoliopsida; Poales; Poaceae. The record is from RNAcentral.
GGCUGUGUGCAACCGCGCCAUCCCGCAGGCCGGCGCCGCGCGGUAGCGCGGUUCCGCAGCAGGGACAUGCGCCACCCGUUACAGCCAACUAAAAUUUGCACUGAUUUGAUUACAUGCGCACGUAUAUAUGCUCUGCACGCAAUGUAUAUAUGCAGUGCAUGCAGCGUGUGUGCGCUGUACCUGGAUUCGGUCGCGCGCGGCCGUGCUGCGGAACCGCGCGG